Transfer RNA from Neotoma lepida (desert woodrat), 73 nucleotides. It matches the Rfam family "tRNA". Rfam says of the family: Transfer RNA (tRNA) molecules are approximately 80 nucleotides in length. Their secondary structure includes four short double-helical elements and three loops (D, anti-codon, and T loops). The record is from Rfam. NCBI's taxonomy places the organism in Eukaryota, Metazoa, Chordata, Mammalia, Rodentia, Cricetidae.
GGAGGGAUGGCUCAGUGGUUAAGAGCACUGGCUGUUCUUCCAGAGGAUCUGGGUUUGAUUCCCAGUACCCACA